RNAcentral lists this long non-coding RNA (609 nucleotides) under Homo sapiens (human). RNAcentral describes it as "HSALNT0320168". The record is from RNAcentral. Lineage: Eukaryota; Metazoa; Chordata; Mammalia; Primates; Hominidae.
UAUUUUGGCCAGGAGCUGAAGUUGGUUGUUUAGUAGUAGUAGUUUGAGUAGUGACCGAAGUAGUAGUCUGGUGUGUGGGUGCAAGAGUAGUUGGGGAAGAAUUAGGUGUGGUAAUUGGGGCAGCUGUGGUCUCUUGUGGAGCUGGGGAAGACGGUGGAGCUGGUGUAGUUGCAGAAGGUGUGGGUGGGACAGCUGUGGUCUCUGGUGGAGCUGAGGAAGAUAGUGGAGCUGGUGUAGUUGCAGAAGGUGUGGGUGGGGCAGCUGUGGUCUCUGGUGGAGCUGAGGAAGAUGGUGGAGCUGGUGUAGUUGCAGGAGGUGUGGGUGGGGCAGCUGUGGUGUCUUGUGGAGCUGGGGAAUUCACUGGUGCUAAUGUAGCUACAGAAGAGCUUGUGUUAACAUUUUCUCUUGAAGAUAUGGUGGUGGCAUUCUGGGGAAGAAAAGUCACAUUUGGAAGGGUAGUAAUUUUGAUGGAAUUUGGGUUGUAGCCACUAAGGUAGGGUUGACCACACUGCUAUUUUUAUCUGGAUGUUUAGGUGGCUGGUGAGGAUUUGGGAAUUUGGGGGGGUUAUUAGGUGAAGGUGGAAGCUUAGGCCUACAGCGUUUGUGCAG